This 254-nucleotide ribosomal RNA is filed under the name uncultured bacterium. RNAcentral describes it as "partial 16S ribosomal RNA". It matches the Rfam family "Bacterial small subunit ribosomal RNA", at positions 524 to 776 of the family's 1533-position model. The record is from RNAcentral.
UACGGGGGGGGGCAAGCGUUGUUCGGAAUUACUGGGCGUAAAGGGUGCGUAGGCGGCGCGGUAAGUCGGGUGUGAAAUCUCGGAGCUUAACUCCGAAACUGCAUUCGAUACUGCCGUGCUUGAGGACUGGAGAGGAGACUGGAAUUUACGGUGUAGCGGUGAAAUGCGUAGAUAUCGUAAGGAAGACCAGUGGCGAAGGCGGGUCUCUGGACAGUUCCUGACGCUGAGGCACGAAGGUCAGGGGAGCAAACGGG